AUACGGAGGGUGCAAGCGUUAUUCGGAAUCACUGGGCGUAAAGGACGCGUAGGCGGGUUGGCAAGUCAGAUGUGAAAUCCUACAGCUUAACUGUAGAACUGCAUUUGAAACUGCUAACCUAGAGUAUGGGAGGGGGAGAUGGAAUUAGUGGUGUAGGGGUAAAAUCCGUAGAUAUCACUAGGAAUACCGAAAGCGAAGGCGAUCUCCUGGAACAUAACUGACGCUAAGGCAUGAAAGCGUGGGGAGCAAACAGGAUUAGAUACCCUAGUAGUCC
This 274-nucleotide ribosomal RNA is filed under the name uncultured bacterium. Its description in RNAcentral is "partial 16S ribosomal RNA". It matches the Rfam family "Bacterial small subunit ribosomal RNA", at positions 523 to 796 of the family's 1533-position model. The record is from RNAcentral.